AGAUUGAACGCUGGCGGCAUGCUUUACACAUGCAAGUCGAACGGCAGCACGGGGGCAACCCUGGUGGCGAGUGGCGAACGGGUGAGUAAUGCAUCGGAACGUAUCUUCAAGUGGGGGAUAACGCAUCGAAAGAUGCGCUAAUACCGCAUAAUCUCCGAGGAGAAAAGCAGGGGAUCGCAAGACCUUGCGUCUUUGGAGCGGCCGAUGUCUGAUUAGCUAGGUUGGUGAGGUAAAGGCUUACCAAGGCUUACG
RNAcentral lists this ribosomal RNA (252 nucleotides) under uncultured soil bacterium. Its description in RNAcentral is "partial 16S ribosomal RNA". It matches the Rfam family "Bacterial small subunit ribosomal RNA", at positions 26 to 279 of the family's 1533-position model. The record is from RNAcentral.